CUAUAUUCAUUUACACAUAUUCAGGUGUUUUUAAUUGUUGUGUGAUUGGAAGCUCACUAUAUCAUGUUCAUUUUGCCACUGACAAGAUUUUGGGACAUGGGUAGUUUUCAGUUUAAUUUGGAUGUGUUGAUGUGGAAAGAUUGGAGAGGAGUUGUUUGUUCACUGACCCAUGUGCAACUAAUAUAUGGGUUCAUUGAUUAGGCAGUUUGUGAAGCUCUGUCUUUUAAUGGCAGGGAAUUAAUUUACCUGAAUUGAAUCUUUAUGAAACUUGCAGAGGUCUUUACUGUUGUUUGGGCACUGAGGUUCUUGGCCAUCUUCUUUUUGUCAAACAUAUAGGAUUGAGAAAAUUCUUUUUAAUCAUCUUUAAUUAGUUCUUGUUCUAGAGCUGAUGGUUCAGGGCAAAUGGUUUUCAUGUUGGCCAUUGUUAUGUGUCAUGCUGCACAGCUGCAGCCUAUGCAGGUUGUUUGCUUUUAAAAUGAAUUCCCUUGAUGGGUACUGGUGAUGCCUAUAUUUUUCAUGUCUGAUGUGGAGGGCAGGGUGCAUUUUAGUACACACCAAACGUGGUUCAGCUCGUAUUUGUGAUCCUAGAAUAGAUAAAGUGAUGUGAUGUGAGAUCUGUCAUCAUUUCUAUGGGAAAGGAGGCCUUUUUGUGUAAAAAUCCUGACUGAGAGAAGAAAGAUUCAUUGAAUUUAUGAAAUCAUAUAAUUCAUGUUAAUGAAAUAUUCUGGUACGGCUAGUUAAAUAUAGUGAUUUUCAUGAGGGUUGGGAAAUGAUUUUCCUUGAUGGUUAUGGCACAUUACAGGCCAUUCUUUCUUCUUGUACGUCUAUAGACAGCUAAUCCUAGUUAAUGGGAAAGGAGGCCUUUUUGUGUAAAAAUCCUGACUGAGAGAAGAAAGAUUCAUUGAAUUUAUGAAAUCAUAUAAUUCAUGU
Long non-coding RNA from Prunus persica (peach), 930 nucleotides. RefSeq lists it as uncharacterized. The transcript is spliced from 2 exons. NCBI's taxonomy places the organism in Eukaryota, Viridiplantae, Streptophyta, Magnoliopsida, Rosales, Rosaceae. The record is from RefSeq and is a predicted model, not a curated record.